This 562-nucleotide ribosomal RNA is filed under the name Escherichia coli. RNAcentral's name for it is "partial 23S ribosomal RNA". It matches the Rfam family "Bacterial large subunit ribosomal RNA", at positions 1 to 593 of the family's 2925-position model. The record is from RNAcentral. Lineage: Bacteria; Pseudomonadati; Pseudomonadota; Gammaproteobacteria; Enterobacterales; Enterobacteriaceae.
GGGUUGUGAGGUUAAGCGACUAAGCGUACACGGUGGAUGCCCUGGCAGUCAGAGGCGAUGAAGGACGUGCUAAUCUGCGAUAAGCGUCGGUAAGGUGAUAUGAACCGUUAUAACCGGCGAUUUCCGAAUGGGGAAACCCAGUGUGUUUCGACACACUAUCAUUAACUGAAUCCAUAGGUUAAUGAGGCGAACCGGGGGAACUGAAACAUCUAAGUACCCCGAGGAAAAGAAAUCAACCGAGAUUCCCCCAGUAGCGGCGAGCGAACGGGGAGCAGCCCAGAGCCUGAAUCAGUGUGUGUGUUAGUGGAAGCGUCUGGAAAGGCGCGCGAUACAGGGUGACAGCCCCGUACACAAAAAUGCACAUGCUGUGAGCUCGAUGAGUAGGGCGGGACACGUGGUAUCCUGUCUGAAUAUGGGGGGACCAUCCUCCAAGGCUAAAUACUCCUGACUGACCGAUAGUGAACCAGUACCGUGAGGGAAAGGCGAAAAGAACCCCGGCGAGGGGAGUGAAAAAGAACCUGAAACCGUGUACGUACAAGCAGUGGGAGCACAGAGCAAUCUG